CCUACGGGGGGCAGCAGUGAGGAAUAUUGGUCAAUGGACGAGAGUCUGAACCAGCCAAGUAGCGUGAAGGAUGACUGCCCUAUGGGUUGUAAACUUCUUUUAUAUGGGAAUAAAAUGUUCCACGUGUGGGAUUUUGUAUGUACCAUAUGAAUAAGGAUCGGCUAACUCCGUGCCAGCAGCCGCGGUAAUACGGAGGAUCCGAGCGUUAUCCGGAUUUAUUGGGUUUAAAGGGAGCGUAGGUGGAUUGUUAAGUCAGUUGUGAAAGUUUGCGGCUCAACCGUAAAAUUGCAGUUGAAACUGGCAGUCUUGAGUACAGUAGAGGUGGGCGGAAUUCGUGGUGUAGCGGUGAAAUGCUUAGAUAUCACUAAGAACUCCGAUUGCGAAGGCAGUUCACUGGACUGCAACUGACACUGAGGCUCGAAAGUGUGGGUAUCAAACAGGAUUAGAUACCCGGGUAGUC
This 460-nucleotide ribosomal RNA is filed under the name uncultured bacterium. Its description in RNAcentral is "partial 16S ribosomal RNA". It matches the Rfam family "Bacterial small subunit ribosomal RNA", at positions 338 to 795 of the family's 1533-position model. The record is from RNAcentral.